Lycium ferocissimum is the source of this 825-nucleotide long non-coding RNA. RefSeq lists it as uncharacterized. NCBI's taxonomy places the organism in Eukaryota, Viridiplantae, Streptophyta, Magnoliopsida, Solanales, Solanaceae. The record is from RefSeq and is a predicted model, not a curated record. The transcript has 2 exons.
AUGCAGGGGAGCAGAUUGUACUGGGCCUAAUGGCUUCAUCGUAGAGUGCUCGGACAAAAAGGGUUCUGGUUUCGAACCUCAAAUUAUCCUUUGUGAUAUCCAUUCUUGUUCUUCAUCAGUAUAUGUCUCUUCAAAUGCUUCAACCAUCUCCUAAUGCAGAUUUUACUUGCAUAUUCGAACUUGGUGUUUUUUUUUUUAAAUUUUUUUUUUUUUUAACCAAGUCUUAAUAACUUUGCUGUUGGUUUAUUUGGUGUACUCUCUUAAAGUUUUUCUACUUUCUAGGCUUCUUCGAAAAAUCCGUAACCUUCAGUGGUGGGACUUUUGGGUCUUCUGUUUUACCAUUAGCAGCGUCAGCGAUUUUGAUGCAUUUGUCGUUAGUUAGAAAUGUGUUUAGUACAAAAAUAAAUCUGUUGUUUAUCUCAUCACUUAGUAGCUAUAUCUGUUUAUAUACAUCGGUAUGCUAUUAUUAAAACACGAAGCGACGCGAAAAUGAUUUAUUUAAUAUUUUGGAUGACUUGUUAGUUGUUACAUAGGUAGUGUUUUGUUUGUGUAGGCUGGUCCAAUCUAUUGCUCUUUCCUUAUGCGCAUUUCGCUGUAUGGAAUUGUAAUCACAGUUUAAGAACAAUCAUUGCUGUUGUUAUGGAGUCCUGAAGAAGGAAAUUUUACUAGUUUGUGUCGAUUGGGUGGUCUGUGGACUUUUGUUACUGAGCUUUAUUAGGCCAUGAAAUGUUGAGAUUUUUUUACCUUUUAAAAAUAGAUUUUAUAUUGGAUAAAAUUGUAAUUUAAGUAUUUGUUUUAUAUCUAUAAAAGAUGAGAUUAAUUGGA